CCUGAGAAACCCAAAAGAUCGAAUGGGGAGAUUCAUCGUCAGCGGUGUUGGCUUCCGUGCGGCUCGCGAUGGCCGGGAUCUCGGUCUCGCGUCACGCGGUCGCCGCGGUAUGUCCAACGUCGUCGGUGUGCACUUCUCCCCUAGUAGGACGUCGCGACCCGUUGGGUGUCGGAUCAAUGGCCGUUCGGUCGUCUGCUGCACCUUUGCGCGCGGCAGAUCGAUCGGUUCAACGUCCGGCUGCUCGGCGGUAUAGAACGCUUAAUCACGGUAAUGGGCCGCAACUAUCGAAUGCGUUCAGGCUCGUCGACAAGCUCGCCUCGCUCGGAUUUACGGACCUAGCGCCGUUGCCGGGCGCUUGGCGCGGCUGUUAGUCGACGAUGUCCUCGGACUGGCUCUUACCUGUCUGCGACGCUACUGCUUUGGGUACUUUC
Molecule: ribosomal RNA, 431 nt
Filed under: Phymastichus coffea
Lineage: Eukaryota; Metazoa; Arthropoda; Insecta; Hymenoptera; Eulophidae
Description: eukaryotic LSU rRNA
Source: RNAcentral